Molecule: ribosomal RNA, 499 nt
Filed under: Mycolicibacterium fortuitum
Lineage: Bacteria; Bacillati; Actinomycetota; Actinomycetes; Mycobacteriales; Mycobacteriaceae
Description: bacterial SSU rRNA
Rfam family: Bacterial small subunit ribosomal RNA
Source: RNAcentral
AGUUUGAUCCUGGCUCAGGACGAACGCUGGCGGCGUGCUUAACACAUGCAAGUCGAACGGAAAGGCCCUUCGGGGUACUCGAGUGGCGAACGGGUGAGUAACACGUGGGUGAUCUGCCCUGCACUUUGGGAUAAGCCUGGGAAACUGGGUCUAAUACCGAAUAUGACCACGCGCUUCAUGGUGUGUGGUGGAAAGCUUUUGCGGUGUGGGAUGGGCCCGCGGCCUAUCAGCUUGUUGGUGGGGUAAUGGCCUACCAAGGCGACGACGGGUAGCCGGCCUGAGAGGGUGACCGGCCACACUGGGACUGAGAUACGGCCCAGACUCCUACGGGAGGCAGCAGUGGGGAAUAUUGCACAAUGGGCGCAAGCCUGAUGCAGCGACGCCGCGUGAGGGAUGACGGCCUUCGGGUUGUAAACCUCUUUCAAUAGGGACGAAGCGCAAGUGACGGUACCUAUAGAAGAAGGACCGGCCAACUACGUGCCAGCAGCCGCGGUAAUAC